UAUUGGAAGUCCUUAAUAAUUCAAAUGCUUGAUAGAAGCUUUAAAAAGCACUGCAGUGAAAACAGUUUACUGGAUAAGUCGUUUUGGAAAUAAGCUGUUUUUGCAAUUCUGUUUUUUUCUGUUAUUCUUGGGCCUGUUUGUGGUUCCAAUUUGUACCCUAUAAAUAGACAUUGUAUGUCAUAGUUGAAAGGUUAAUGCCAUAUGAUUCAAUUCUCUCAAUCUUUC
This 225-nucleotide long non-coding RNA is filed under the name Lathyrus oleraceus (garden pea). Its description in RNAcentral is "Pisum sativum (pea) long non-coding RNA (PSAT_LNC023245)". The record is from RNAcentral. Lineage: Eukaryota; Viridiplantae; Streptophyta; Magnoliopsida; Fabales; Fabaceae.